Molecule: ribosomal RNA, 479 nt
Filed under: uncultured bacterium
Lineage: Bacteria
Description: partial 16S ribosomal RNA
Rfam family: Bacterial small subunit ribosomal RNA
Source: RNAcentral
GACGAACGCUGGCGGCGUGCUUAACACAUGCAAGUCGAACGGUAAGGCCCUUUCGGGGGUACACGAGUGGCGAACGGGUGAGGAACACGUGGGUAAUCGGCCCUGCACUUCGGGAUAAGCCGGGGAAACUGGGUAUAAUACGUGAACUGAGCACUCGACGCAUCGUGGCGGGUGGAAAGUUUUUCGGUGCAGGAUGAGCCCGCGGGCUAUCAGCUUGAGGGGGGGGUAAUGGCCUACCAAGGCGACGACGGGUAGCCGGCCAGAGAGGGUGCUCGGCCACACUGGGACUGAGACACGGCCCAGACUCCUACGGGAGGAAGCAGUGGGGAAUAUUGCACAAUGGGCGGAAGCCUGAUGCAGCGACGCCGCGUGGGGGAUGACGGUCUUCGGAUUGUAAACCCCUUUCAGUAGGGACGAAGCGCAAGUGACGGCACCUGAAUAAGAAGCCACGGCUAACUACGUGCCAGCCGCCGCGAUAA